GACCCUAUGGACAGCAGCCCAGUAGGCUAGAUUCUACAUGACCUCCCUCGGGGCUCAGCAGCUCACCAUCUGCGGUUGUGGCAGAUGCCGUUGCUGAUGACUGCAACAUCCUUGUUUGCUGCUCAGGCAGGAAAUACUCCAUUUCUCAGGAUCCACAUUUUGCAGAGAUCAAGUUUUAGAUAGUGGGAUGCUCCUCAGGCUUGCACACAAAAAUGUGUUUUGCAAUUUUGUUCAAGUCAGGAAUUUGUAGUUUGGGACUGGACAGGCAGUAAUGCUGCUGGCUGUGGUGGGUACCACUUCGUGGUCUGGGUCUGGGUCUCAGAGACUGAAGCCCAGGGGAGCUUCCUGGCACCCUGAGUACACACAAUGCCACAGGCAAAUUGGGAAUCCCCCAAGCUUGCUUUUCUCACCUUUUCUUCUGUGUUCUCUGCUCCCUCCCUGGGUUCUAGUCUUUUUCAGCCCUUCCCUUCAAUAAGCACACAUCCGGCUUCAAACUGGAUUCAAAUCCCAGCCCCAUCUGUUACCAAGUGAUGUGAUUCAGGAAGUGUCUCUUCCUUUCUGAUUUCCUUAUAUAAUAUACUUAAACACGUUUCAGCUCUGAUGGUGACGAUUCUGUGACAUAAGUUAAUGUAGAAUGCAGGAAACACAAGGAGCUCUUCAUAGAUAAUGGCCCAUCAUUGUUCUUCGGGGCCACUGGCUCUGAGUAAUUCACACUGAUGUGUGAGCAACCCAUGUCCUGCAGUUAACAGAGAAGUUGAGUAGGCUUGGCGUGCUGUAGUCCAUGGAGUCACAAAGAGUCGAAUUUGACUGAGCCGCUGAACAACAGUAAAGCAAAUGUUAUCUGUCCGAUAUUUAAGCAACUUAAAAACAUUAAGUCAAUAUUCAGGCUUUUGGGUGAAGGGAAUUUUUGAUCAGCAACUUUAAAUCCUUCCACCUGCAUGCCUGCCUCCCUCCCUUCCUUCCUGGGGAUGUACAUUUUAAAAGCGCAGUCAGGAACCACAGACCUCUGUCUCCUGGCAUCAGUGACUCCGGCGAACUGGAACCACCAGGGAGAGGAUAAAGGUUGGAGGCAGGGGAGUGGCCACCUUUUCUAUUUAUCUCUCUCUCUUUCUAUAUAUAUUUUAUAUAUAUAUACACACACACAUAUAUUUAAAUUUUUUUAAUUAAAAAAAUAUCUGUAUAUAAAGAUAUGUGGUUAAUUAUUCAUUCAGAGAUUUAUAAUUGAGAAAUAUCCUCACUUAGUAGUUGGUUUAACCAGAGAACCAAUGAAGAAAUCAUUGACCCACUUUCUCUGUUGCUUGGUUUUCCUUUCCGGUCAGGCGAUGAGUUCAGAGGACAGGCCAGUCAUUUUUCAAUUGCCUUUGGCUUCUUGUUUGCUCCAAAUGGCAUUUCACAAUGUGCUGUUGAUUACUUACACUUGCUUUCAGGGAGCCAGUGUUCUCUGGCUGUGGGAUCCAAUCAAGAGAUCCAUUAAGGUCCUCCUAACUCUGCAUGGGAGAUCAGGAUUGUAAACUGUCAUUGGGAUGAAUCAAGUCUUCUCCUUACUUUCUGUUUGAGACCAAGGAGAGGUGAAUAGCUAUCCAGCCCCUCUGAGGUGAGGUCUGUAAAGCAUGCAUGCCCACCUUCCAGCUCCAUUAUUCUAGGCUUGCUGGGCAAGUAUUUGCUAGAGGGAAGGUCAAGCAGGUGAAGGACAGCGGAGUCUGGCAUGCUGCAGUCCGUGAGGUCGCAAAGAGCCAGACACAAUUUAGCAACUGAGCAACAAUAAGAUCAAGUAGAACAUUAAGGAUUUGAUCCCUGUUUACACUCUAAACAGAAAAUAUGAACUGUUUGUUUAUCUCAGUUUGUUUAAUACCAGGAUACUCCAUAUUUCAAUAAUACAAAUGGAUUUUUAAAAUCUUUGUAUUAACCUAGGAACCAAAGCAGUCUCUAAUAAAAGUAAGCAAAUCUUCACAGAUUUAUAUUUGGACUCUGUAACUAAAGCUUUUAAAGAAGAAAUCAUUUAAUUACUUUUUUUUUACACCAUUGGUAUUUUAUAAUAUUUGCAUGUCUAUUAUUGUCAAUAUAAUGAAUAAUGUAAAGUACAUUUCUUAAAGAGUCUUUUUAAUAAUAUUCAAAUUUGUAUGGUCUAAAAGCUAAUUUUCAAAGUCAUUGUUAUUGUGGUCCUAUUGUUCUCUAUUUUCUAUUCUUUUUACAAUUAGCAUAGAGUAUAAAGGCAGAGAAGCUGACAUUUGCUGAAAUUCUCCUGUGGCUCAAGCAUUCUGCUGAGACCCUUUCACACGUCACUAAUUUGAUGUUCAUAACAUCAGGUUAUGAAGGUUAGGUUAGUUUAUCUCCUGCAGGUUAGUUUAUCUCCCCUCUAUUACAGAUGAGGAAACUGCCUGGAGAAGUUAAGUAUCUUACUUGAGGAGACCCUCCUAAUAACAGACAGAGCUUGUAUUUGUACUUAGGUUUGACUGCAUUUGGAAAGAAAAAAGGAUGAAAAGGCACAUGAAAAGGAGAGAGGAAGAUGAAAUUGUAAUGCACACUUUUGAUGCCAAAAGAUCAACUUCUCCAUUCACUGGUACCAAAUCCAAUCUCAGAGACAGAGUUUUGGGUGAAGUAGAAAAGGAUAGCUUUAUUGCUUUGCCUGGCAGAGGAGGCCACAGUCGGGUAAUACACUCAAAAUCCCAUGUACCAGCUUAGAGACGAUAGUGAGAAUUUCUCAGUAAUUGUCAGAGAGGGAGCUAUCCGCUCGCGGAGAUUCUUCUGAUGGGUUGGUGGUGAGGUAAGUAGGAGUCAGCAGCAUCAACAUUCGGGUCCAUCUGGCCUGGGGUCGGCCUGCUUGUGGGCAGUACACCAUUGUUAAUCCCCCACUGCUCCCACCUGAAAGGGGUUUCAGUGUCUUCAAAAUAGCUCAAAGAUAUUGUUGUGAGUUUAGAUUGAUUGGGAACCAGGACCUUGCCCCAAGGUUGCGCUGCUGUUUCUCUUGACUGUUUGUUUCUCCCUGGCUUGGAUCCCCUCCUUACCCUAGUUAAGAACUGCUUGACUCUACCUGUCGGAGCUCAGGGAAGGUCACAGAGGCUAGAUGAAGGCUGUUUCCUAUAAUCAAAGAAAUGGAGGUCACAGAAAGCCUUUGGGCCUAGGAACCUCACGGGGCCCGGUAUCACUUUGGAAAGCUAAAGGAAACCAAGGCGAAGUCAGUCUCAGUCUUAGGAAAGCAGCCUUGAGCUUGGAAAGAAGGGAAGCGGCAAUGCCAGGUGUUGUCACUGCAUAGUGGUUGUCAUGGUUACAGCUAACUGGCUGUGUGCCAGGAGGAAACCUGAAAACUCUCUCUGAAUUUUCCUAAAAUAGAUCUUCAAACUUUCUCCAUAUCCAGCCUUCCAGUGAAGCUGUCUUUGGGACCAUGAUAUGGAGCCAUUCCGAUUUAUACAACUGAGAGGGCAUUGAACCUUUGGAUGGAGGACCAGGGAAGGAAGUACUCCUGUGUGUAUGGAUCCUCCACAAAGGAAACCAGUCUCCAUGUUAAUUGUGUGGAAGGUCAACCUCAAAAGGAUUAUGGUUACCAAAGGAGGAAAAAUAUAUAUUUGACAUACAGUAUUGAUUUUUAUUACUGUAAUUUGUGUCAGAUGUCAAAGAUUUUUUGAAUUUAAUAUCUGCCUCUUUUUUCUUUGUGAUAUAAAAAUAUUGAGUUUUUGUAAUGGGAUUGUUUUAAUAGUUUGGCUCCCCAAACAAUUUUUUUUAUUUUAAAGAUACUGUAAAAGAAAACAACCUGAAAUUAUUAUACAAGAUUUAUGGAAUACAUUAGGAAGGUGUAUUUUUCUGAAACUGAAGUUCCACCACUUUCAUUGGCUCCUUAAAGUGAAUUAUGAAUCAAAAAAAAAGGAAGAGCCUAAAGUCUUACUUUUCUCAACUCUGAAUUUCCUACCAAAGUGAUUUUCAAGAAUUUAUUGCUGUUGCUUGCAGUAGGAUUUUAAAUUUUUAUUGGGAUAUAGUUGAUUUACAAUGCUGUGUUAGUGCUUCUUUCUUACUCUUAUCCUGAUACCCAGAUAUAUGACCCUUCAACUAUAGUUCUCAGUUUCUCAUUGUGGGGAAGGCCCUAGGGGUGUGUGUGUACAGACAGGACUGCCUUAGUCUGAGGACUGAUGUUGCCCCAGCUGCUCACUUCCUUGCAAAUGCUUCCAUCAGGACCUCUCCCUAGGAUGCUCUAUAAUUCCAGGUACACAGCUCUGACAGCUAAAUGCCCUCGUUCUCCCUUAAUUCUCCUUCCCCAUAGAUGAAUGGAGAGAAAAACUGGGUCCAAAUACAGAACAGUGAGUAGGCAUUUCCCCUUUUCACUGAAAAGUGUAGUUAUCAUUUAUUUUGCAAGAUGUGGAAGCAACCUAAGGGUCCAGAUGAGUAGAUGAAUGGAUAAAGAAGAUGUGGCAUGGAUAGACAAUGGACUACUACUCUGCCGUAAAAAGAAUGAGUUUGUCACUUGCAACAGGCUGAAUGGACUUAGAAGGUAUUAUGCAAAGUGAAAUAAGUCAGAGAGAGAGACACACUGUAUGCUAGCACUUAAAUGUAGAAUCUAAAAAAUAAAACAAACUAAUGAAUAUAACAAAAAAUAAACAUAUGCAUAAAGAGAAUAGCCUGCUGGUUACCAGCGGGGAGAGGGAAAUGGGCAGGGCAGGAUGGCGGCAGGGAAUUAAGAGGUACAAUAUGUAUCAAAUACGUAUGUAUAAAGUAAAUAAGUUACAAGGAUAUACUGUACAACAGGGAAUAUACUCAAUAUUUUAUAAUAACUCUAAAUGAAAUCAUAACCUUUAAAAUUUGUGAAUCAUUAUGUACACCUGAAACAUAAUAUUGUGUAUCAGCUGCUCCUCAGUAAAACCAAGAAAAUAAAAUAAGAGUUCAGCUAUCAACCUAAGCAUUGUUCAGUUCACUUCACUUAUUAAAAACCCUCAUGAUAUUGACCCCCAGACUAGGAACUGCAAACCGCUCUUGCUUCCUAUUCUCUAUUUUGCAAAAGAAUCAUCUCUUGUCUCCCAAGUAUGGCCCUGCUUGGGUGUAACCUGUGAGCUUUAGGAAGAGGGUGCCGUAUGCCCUCUGACUCUCACCUGUUUCUCUGCACCCACUGUCCCCUUCCCCUUCAUUCUCUCCUUGAUAAAAGUCAGUAUUCCUCUCUUCUGACAGCCCCCAUUUCCAUAGCAAAUUCCAUAGAGCCCUUACAGAGGCACCGUGUGGUUCUGCAUUUGAAAGGAUUCAUACCUUUAUGGACUGUUCUUUUCAGAGCCCCGCCAGUCUUGCCCAUAUGAUUCCAAUUUUGGGGGUGUGUUCAACUAAGCAAGCUCCCCAUGACUUUUUCAUAACUUAGAUAGCUUGGGUUGUACUCUCAAUAGAAGUAUCUAUAGUGAAUUGUGAUCUGUUGUCUCCUUUCUUAGUGCUGAGAAAAACUUUGUCAGAGGACACCUCUUACAUUUUCACUUUUUGUGCACAUUUCAGUUUGUCGCAGGGACUGAAUACAAUUGGAUUUGACAGCUGUACUAAAUAAACUACGCAGGUGUGCUUUUAAAGCCACUUGCAGAUUUCUACUUCUGCGUGCUGAUAACGCAUGUUUUUUAAAGUUUAGAUGAACACAAAGAUUUUAUAAAGUCCUGAGAUGAAUACAUUUUUUUUUUCCUUGCUCUCACUCACCAUCUAGAUCUUUGUCUUACAGAAAUCCAUAACAUUAAUACCUACACAGAAUGGGAGAGAGUAUAUUUUCAAAAAAGCUGAGUAGAUGGGAUCAAUCAUUUAUGGAAGGGCCUUCGAAAUGUCCUUCAAAUAGGACAUAAAUGUCAAAGAGAGUGUCUGUUCUUAUUUAGGAUCAUUUAUGGCACACAGAGUUUGAUAAAAAGAAAUUCAGUAUUACCUUUCAUUGUAAAUUAUCUUUGGGAUGAAGGAGUUUAAACAUCUUUGGUGGCUGCUGUCUUAAAAGGGACCUCAGGGAGUGAAGGGAGCCUCAGCAGUGUCAUGGUUUUUAACUCUGAGACUGGUUUUCAACCCAAAGUGGGCAUGGUUCUCCCUACCCAACUCACACAUUUAUUGUCAGGGCCAAGUGAAAUACUGAAAACCAGAAGCGUCAGUUUAAUAUGGUAUUAGGUUUCCAUGUUUUCAAAUGAAGUCCUCUUUUGUCAGUAUCCUCCAUCUACCCAGCAAAACCAGGAACAACCCAAUGACCGUAUAAAAAGUCUCCUGGGCAGCCUAUCAGCUCAAUGGGAGCAUGUGUCAAGUGAAAGGGUGUGUAAAUAAAGUUGCCUUGACCACAAGGAGCAGAUGGUCACUGAAAGAAGGAAGAAAGAAAGAGAUGAGGAAAAGGAAGGGGAGAGGGAAGGAGGGAUGGAAGAAGAAAAGGAAAAAGAAAAGAACAUAAGGAAGAGAAAAAUGUUCUGUUAUAGUAACUGUCUGGGGUGGUAAAUUGUCCCUUGUUUUUUUUUUUUUUUUUUUUCAAUUUUUCCUUUGGCUGUACCCUGGCUUUCUCUAGUUGCAGUGAUUAGAUACUACUCUUUGUUGGGCGUGCGGGCUUCUCGUUGCACUGGUUUCUCCUAUGGAGCCCAGGGAUCAGACCACAGGCUCAGAAGCUAUGGCACAUGGGCUUAGCUACUUCUCAGCAGGGGAAUCUUCAUGGACCAAGGAUUAAACCCAUGUCUCCUGCACUGGCAGGUGGAUUCUUAUCCACUGGGCCAGGGAAGUCCCAGGUUGUCUGUUUUUUAAAGCUAAGUGAAACUGACUAUUUUAUUUCUUUGGAAGUAGUUUAAUGCCUUAUUUCUACAUCAAUCAUAGAGUCAAAAAGAAGUGUGGGUAGUUCCCUAUACCUUGAGAUCUCUUGUACCUUGGAUUCCCUGUACGUUGUUUAUAGGACAAUCCAAGAAGGAAACAGAAUGCCCACCUAAGUAUUCUUGGGGGGCCUUUUGCCCAGGUACAAUCAGAAGAACCUGGCUUUAUGAAAAUGAGUGCAAAUUCAGGUAAUAAGAAUUUAAUAUCAUUUAGUUUAAGGGUGUAGGGUUUUCCUAAAAUUAAGACAGGAAAUGAAGAUCCAAGCAUUAAGAAGCAUCAAAUUCACAAUCCCGAACACCUCCUUGAAGGAUCUAGCAAACCUCUCUCUGAAAGAGAUUUCUUUGGAAACUUUUUCUUAUUUUCCUGGGCAAGUCUGGUCCUGAUACCAGCUAAAUAAAGGAGAGAUUAGUACCUAGUAUUUAAUAACUUCUGGUAUUUAAUACUCAAAUAAUUAUUUUUGAAAGGAUUGAGGAAGGAUGGAGUGGAGGGAAGAGGCUAUUGUCUACCUUGUAAAGGUCAAUUUUUUAAAAGCAGUAAACAUUUACGAAUAUUCUUUAUUGCACAAAGAACUAUCUUUUCCAAAAUAUUUUGAAACUUGGAGUUUCUAGUUUUGGUGGAGAUGUAGUUUAUGGCAGGGGUCUCCAACCGCUGGGAUCUAAUGCCUGAUCAUCUGAAGUGGAGCUGAUGGAAUAAUAACAGAAAUAAAGUUCAAAUCAAUGUAAUGCACUUGAAUCAUCCUGAAAUCUCGGCCCCGCCCCUGGUCUGUGGAAGAACUGUCUUCCAUGAAACCAAGCCCGGGUGCCAAAAAGGUUGGGGGCCGCUGCUUUAUGGUUAUAGAGAUAUAUUUCAUUCCUAUAAACAUUGAUUUUAGGUUUUUUUUUUUUUUAAUACAGUGUGAUGAAUGGAAACUGGUGCUUGGCUCCAAUCUCAGCAGGGUAGUAGGGAGUGAUGAAGACCAGGGCAAGUCGGGGAGUCCAUGCCUCAUCGAAAUACCUAGUCAUGUAAUAAGAACCUCCUGUAUGGCACAGGAAACUCUACUCAAUACCUUGUAAUGACUUAUAUGAGGAAAGAGUCUAAAAAAGAGGUAAUAUAUUAUAUGUAUAACUGAAUUACUUUGCUGUACACCUACAACUAAUACAACAUUGUAAGUCAGGUAUAUGCCAGUAAACGUUAACUUAAAGAAAUAGCUAGUCAAAGGCUGAUAUUUACACUGGAAAUUGUACAAUGUCACCAUGAUGCAUAUUAUUAUAAUUUAUAAAUAAUAUGCUGUUGGUUGACUUGUAUCAGUAGCAGUGUUCAUUCCCUGAUAUUUGUUCAGCAUCUUUGAAAUUAGCUCCACAGUGUUACAGAUUUAAAUAGUCACACUUUCCACAGAGAACUGUUUUUUUGUUAACAGGUAGGGGAUUCUGGGGCUUGGUGGAUUAUUGUGUUUUGUGGUAUAAACAACUCUGGAAAGAUUUGAGUUCUGUGUUGAAACUGGUUUUAACUGGCAAUGGUGUGGUUACUUGACCAAGACUAGACUUCAAUUCAGAACUGAGCAGUGUUUAUUUAGGACUUGGAGAACAUGCGUGAAUAAAUGAUAACAAUAACUUAA
Molecule: long non-coding RNA, 8368 nt
Organism: Bubalus bubalis (water buffalo)
Lineage: Eukaryota; Metazoa; Chordata; Mammalia; Artiodactyla; Bovidae
Exons: 2
Source: RefSeq, a predicted model, not a curated record